RNAcentral lists this ribosomal RNA (473 nucleotides) under uncultured organism. Its description in RNAcentral is "partial 16S ribosomal RNA". It matches the Rfam family "Bacterial small subunit ribosomal RNA", at positions 333 to 797 of the family's 1533-position model. The record is from RNAcentral.
ACACUCCUACGGGAGGCAGCAGUGGGGAAUUUUGGACAAUGGGCGAAAGCCUGAUCCAGCAAUGCCGCGUGUGUGAAGAAGGCCUUCGGGUUGUAAAGCACUUUUGUCCGGAAAGAAAUCCUUGGCUCUAAUACAGUCGAGGGAUGACGGUACCGGAAGAAUAAGCACCGGCUAACUACGUGCCAGCAGCCGCGGUAAUACGUAGGGUGCGAGCGUUAAUCGGAAUUACUGGGCGUAAAGCGUGCGCAGGCGGUUUGCUAAGACCGAUGUGAAAUCCCCGGGCUCAACCUGGGAACUGCAUUGGUGACUGGCAGGCUAGAGUAUGGCAGAGGGGGGUAGAAUUCCACGUGUAGCAGUGAAAUGCGUAGAGAUGUGGAGGAAUACCGAUGGCGAAGGCAGCCCCCUGGGCAAAUACUGACGCUCAUGCACGAAAGCGUGGGGAGCAAACAGGAUUAGAAACCCCGGUAGUCCCA